AUUGAACGCUGGCGGCAUGCCUUACACAUGCAAGUCGAACGGUAACGGGCCUUCGGGUGCCGACGAGUGGCGAACGGGUGAGUAAUACAUCGGAACGUGCCCGAUCGUGGGGGGUAACGAGGCGAAAGCUUUGCUAAUACCGCAUACGAUCUACGGAUGAAAGCAGGGGACCGCAAGGCCUUGCGCGGACGGAGCGGCCGAUGGCAGAUUAGGUAGUUGGUGGGAUAAAAGCUUACCAAGCCGACGAUCUGUAGCUGGUCUGAGAGGAUGAUCAGCCACACUGGGACUGAGACACGGCCCAGGCUCCUACGGGAGGCAGCAGUGGGGAAUUUUGGACAAUGGGCGCAAGCCUGAUCCAGCCAUGCCGCGUGCAGGAUGAAGGCCUUCGGGUUGUAAACUGCUUUUGUACGGAACGAAAAGCCUUCUUUUAAUACAGGAGGGUCAUGACGGUACCGUAAGAAUAAGCACCGGCUAACUACGUG
This 482-nucleotide ribosomal RNA is filed under the name uncultured bacterium. RNAcentral's name for it is "partial 16S ribosomal RNA". It matches the Rfam family "Bacterial small subunit ribosomal RNA", at positions 30 to 507 of the family's 1533-position model. The record is from RNAcentral.